Molecule: long non-coding RNA, 629 nt
Filed under: Salmo salar (Atlantic salmon)
Lineage: Eukaryota; Metazoa; Chordata; Actinopteri; Salmoniformes; Salmonidae
Description: lncRNA (ENSSSAG00000082699.1, ENSSSAG00000105502.1)
Source: RNAcentral
CCUCUCUGGGCUUUCUCUUCAGAGUGCCUUCCUGGGCUUUCUCUUCAGAGUACCUUCCUGGGCUUUCUCUUCAGAGUACCUUCCUGGGCGAAAGAUAAAUAUUCUCCACAAAACACAAAUGCCAUUAAAGGUUAUGGAAACAGUUAAAUUGGUAAUGUGCUACAUUUAACGUUGUUUUGAAAAUGCCACAAAAGGGUGUCAGAGUUUAUUAAGGGCAUCAGAGUUUAGGAGGUUCAGGGUGUCAGAGUUUAGGUGGUUCAGGGUGUCAGAGUUUAGGUGGUUAAGGGUAUCAGAGUUUAGGUGGUUCAGGGUGUCAGAGUUUAUUAAGGGUGUCAGAGUUUAGGUGGUUCGGGGUAUCAGAGUUUAGGUGGUUCAGGGUGUCAGAGUUUAGGGGGUUAAGGGUGUCAGAGUUUAGGUGGUUCAGGGUGUCAGAGUUUAGGUGGUUCAGGGUGUCAGAGUUUAGGUGGUUCAGGGUGUCAGAGUUUAGGUGGUUCAGGGUAUCAGUGUUUAGGUGGUUAAGGGUGUCAGAGUUUAUUAAGGGCAUCAGAGUUUAGGAGGUUAAGGGUGUCAGAGUUUAUUAAGGGUAUCAGAGUUUAGGUGGUUCAGGGUGUCAGAGUUUAGGAGGUUAA